CAAAUAUUUAGAUGUGAGAAAGACAACUUGAGUAGAGAGUACUGGGGUGUAUCUCAGACCUGAGUGCUUAUUGAUCAAGUCAAGGGAGAGCAUGGAGAAGCCCCUAAGGAAUUCAUUAAUGAUCAUGUGGCUUCUGCUAAAAUGGGUGAGCUGCCAACAGAAGGUGGAACAGAAUCCUCAGGUUUUGAGUGUCCAAGAGGGAGAGAAUAUCACCAUCAACUGCACUUAUGCAGACCAAAGUUCUCAAAGUCUACAGUGGUUCAGGCAGGAUCCUGGGAAAGGCCCCACCUUACUAUUUUACCUGGCUUCAGGGACAAAGGAGGGAGGAAGGUUCAAAUCCAUGAUCAGCAGAAAGGAUCGUCAGAGUUCUCUGUACAUAACUGCCUCCCAGCCUGGAGACUCAGCCACCUACCUGUGUGCUGUAGAUGCACAAUGA
Molecule: non-coding RNA, 436 nt
Organism: Dromiciops gliroides (monito del monte)
Lineage: Eukaryota; Metazoa; Chordata; Mammalia; Microbiotheria; Microbiotheriidae
Source: the annotation of a RefSeq genome assembly